GCCUGGGUGGCUCAAUGGUUGAGCAUCUGUCUUUGACUCAGGUUGUGAUCCUGGGUUCCUGGGAUCGAGUCCCACAUCAGGCU
RNAcentral lists this transfer RNA (83 nucleotides) under Canis lupus familiaris (dog). It matches the Rfam family "tRNA". From Rfam's summary of the family: Transfer RNA (tRNA) molecules are approximately 80 nucleotides in length. Their secondary structure includes four short double-helical elements and three loops (D, anti-codon, and T loops). RNAcentral also lists the same sequence under 1 other name. The record is from Rfam by way of RNAcentral. Lineage: Eukaryota; Metazoa; Chordata; Mammalia; Carnivora; Canidae.